AAAAGGAGAGGAGAUAAUGAGGGAGGGACUUAUGAGGGUGGGACUUGGAGGAGUGGAAGAGGGGCUGUGAUUGGGAUGUGAAUUAAUUAAUUAAUUAAUUAGCAAAAAGAGAUUCCACCUUUAUUCAUACAUUUAAAUUUUAAAAUAAGAAGGGACUGGAGGGGAUUGCUCAUGCAUGAAUGGCACUGGCUGCUCUUUCAGAGGACCUGACUCCCAGCAGCUCCAUGAUGUCUCUCAACCAUGUGUAACUCCAGUUCCGUGUAAUCCAACACCCUCUUUGGGGCCCUGCAGGCACCAGGCUUGCAUGUGAUUCACAGGCAGGCAGGUGAGCAAAACACCCAUACCCAUAAAGUAAAAAUAUUUUUUAAGCAUGGAGAAAAUAUAUAUUUCACAGACAUUGAGAUUCAUUCAAACAAGAGAUGGGGCACCAGACAUAGAAAAAGAGUCACUAUAAAUACCUUAGCACAACUGAAUUGCUGUGGCCUGAUAAAGUUUGAAAAUUAGCUUCAGGCAGGAUAAACCUGCAUCUGGUUUCUAUAGCAGAUUAGCUAAUGUGGGUGAAGCUCUUGGACACUUGUGAAGAAAGCAAAAUAGUGCUGUGGUUGUUGUUAUUACACUCUUGGAUGUUUCCCCCGAGAUGCUCAGUGACGUUUAAUGGCUGCUUGGCCAAUCGCUGUAUCUCUGCUUCCAGAAUCCACAAAGCGGCUGAUCUGCCGCUUCCUGAAAAGAACAGGAUUAGCAGGUACUUGGCUCUGAAGAAGGACAGACACUGGGAAGAAGGAAGAAGCCAGAAGAGGGAGGCUAGGGGAGAGAAGCAAUCGAUAAGGAGAGUGAAUAACGAAUUCAGGUCUUCACUGGACUUGAGGACUCAUCCAAGCUGGUAUUUGUUUUAACGAGCAAAUGAGGUCUGAUUUGUUCCAGAGAGUAGAUCUUCCAAUUCUCACUCUAAACAGCCCACAGUUAAACAAAUCUAUUGGCCAAUUAGGAAGCAAUGUAACUUAAAAAGAAAAGGACAUUUUCUAAGUGAAGCAGGUGUGUGGAACCUAUAGCCCACGGGACACAUGUGUCCCAGAAUAGCUGUAAAUGAAGCACAACAAAAGAAUUGUAAACUUCUCUAAAACAUCAAGAGGCCUUUUUGUCAUUUUUUUUCCAUAACUGAAUUGUGUAAUUCUCAAUCCUGAGCUCUAUAGAUGAUGUCAUGUUGCAGUGCCAUGCAAAAUAAACACAAGGAUGCUCUU
Molecule: long non-coding RNA, 1238 nt
Filed under: Rattus norvegicus (Norway rat)
Lineage: Eukaryota; Metazoa; Chordata; Mammalia; Rodentia; Muridae
Description: long non-coding RNA NONRATT027538
Source: RNAcentral